RNAcentral lists this ribosomal RNA (460 nucleotides) under uncultured bacterium. RNAcentral describes it as "partial 16S ribosomal RNA". It matches the Rfam family "Bacterial small subunit ribosomal RNA", at positions 338 to 795 of the family's 1533-position model. The record is from RNAcentral.
CCUACGGGUGGCAGCAGUGAGGAAUAUUGGUCAAUGGGCGCGAGCCUGAACCAGCCAAGUCGCGUGAGGGAAGACGGCCCUACGGGUGGUAAACCUCUUUUGCCGGGGAGCAACGGGCGCCACGUGUGGCGCCACUGAGAGUACCCGGAGAAAAAGCAUCGGCUAACUUCGUGCCAGCAGCCGCGGUAAUACGGGGGAUGCGAGCGUUAUCCGGUUUUAUGGGGUUUAAAGGGUGCGUAGGCGGAGCGUAAAGUCAGUGGUCAAAUUGCGGGGUUCAACCCCUUCCCGCCAUUAAAACUGGAGCUCUUGAGUGGAAGAGAAGUAUGCGGAAUGCGUGGUGUAGCGGUGAAAUGCAUAGAUAUCACGCAGAACCCCGAUUGCGAAGGCAGCAUGCCGGCUUCCGACUGACGCUGAAGCACGAAAGCGUGGGGAUCGAACAGGAUUAGAUACCCUUGUAGUC